UACAGAGGUCUCAAGCGUUGUUCGGAUUUAUUGGGCGUAAAGGGCGCGUAGGCGGCGCGGUAAGUCGGGUGUGAAAUCUUGGAGCUUAACUCCGAAACUGCAUUCGAUACUGGCAACCUAGAGACUGGAAGAGGUUAGUGGAAUUCCCAGUGUAGAGGUGAAAUUCGUAGAUAUUGGGAAGAACACCAGUGGCGAAGGCGGCUAACUGGUCCAGCACUGACGCUGAGGUGCGAAAGCGUGGGGAGCAAACAGG
RNAcentral lists this ribosomal RNA (253 nucleotides) under uncultured bacterium. RNAcentral describes it as "partial 16S ribosomal RNA". It matches the Rfam family "Bacterial small subunit ribosomal RNA", at positions 524 to 776 of the family's 1533-position model. The record is from RNAcentral.